AAUGCAGCAUGUGGACAUUUGAUAUACAUCUCUAUAAAUCUCUCCCAUGCCUGAUGAAACUCCUCGUUCGGCUUCUGCAAAAAUGUUAUAAUCUCUCUCUUGUAAUU
Pyrus x bretschneideri (Chinese white pear) is the source of this 107-nucleotide small nucleolar RNA. Lineage: Eukaryota; Viridiplantae; Streptophyta; Magnoliopsida; Rosales; Rosaceae. The record is from RefSeq and is a predicted model, not a curated record.